Molecule: long non-coding RNA, 2473 nt
Organism: Oryzias javanicus (javanese ricefish)
Lineage: Eukaryota; Metazoa; Chordata; Actinopteri; Beloniformes; Adrianichthyidae
Source: Ensembl
CUCUUUUUUUUUGUUUUUUUAGAAAUCGUUAACAAAGCUGUGUUGGGUGUUACUUCUGCAGUGAGCGGCGACAGUGGACAGGAACUAGAGGAACUGCUCCGAGAGGCUAGCCUGGAGUCUGGAAGAGACGCACCAUGAACUGUCCAUGUGAAAACAGCUCUCAGAUGGAUCCUCAGCUACGUGACCACAGUGUUUUUGUCUUCUCUGUGACCGGACCACCAACAUCUUUUUCCUUAAACAACCGAAGACCAAGUGUUACAGCAGUCAACAGUUGUGUUCAUGAAGGUGAACGGACACAAUCAAACCUUAAGAGCUCACCUUUCGUCCCAAUAUGGAGUCUUUACAGCCACACUACAUCCUCUGCGUGAAAGGGCGGAGAGAAGCAGCCACCUUCGUAUCACUACAUCUUUCCAGCCUAAGAUCUCUGAUGGCGAACAGCCGCCUGUGUGAGAGGACCGAAGAGACGAGGGAGGCGGGAUGAAACACUAACCAAAGACGGAACAUACAAUCUCAGCGCCCCCACCCGCUCUCCUUUAGAUCCACUGCAGCUGAUUAGCUAGCAAUCAAAAAAUGUUCCUAUCUCAGAGCUAUAAAGGUGAGGACUACAAACAUCUGUGCUCCUGUCGACCAAACCUGCAGACUCAGAGGCUGAGUGUGUCGCCCUGAAAGGCUUUUCUAUCAAUAAAGCUGAGGUUGUUGAUGUCUGUUUUUAAUGUAAACCCUGUGUGUCUCCCACCCUCUCCUGGACUCUUUCUCUCCGCCCUGGAAAUAAAACUCUUAAGAGACCUUUGCCAAAGUGACCUCCUUCCUCUUUGAUUUCUCCUGCUCCGUUUCCUUCUGGCCCCUCAGGAAUCAGUGUACCCCCACUUUCUCACUUCUGACAAAAAGAAGUCAAAUUCCAAAAAGUAGAUUUGAGUUGAUCCUUUGCUGCUACAAAAAAAAAAAAGUCGGACCCGAACCAAUGUAUUUUGUUUAUUUUUUUCUUUCUUCGUCCCCAAACUAAAGCUGUUUUUGGUUUACGAACCGUUAAGGAAGAAACCGUCAGGGCUUUCUAAGCUUUCACCUGCUCUCCUCAUACUUCCUCUGGAGCGUUCAUUUUCUGCUUGUUGCCUUCAGUCCGCCUUUGCAGCCUCCUGCAUCUCCUCUUAGCUGCUUUGAGAAAAUCUAUUUUUUUGUAAACCUGCACAACCUUUCUUUUGAUUUUUCUUUGCUCCACCUCUUUUUUUGUAGGAGCUGCUUUUAAAGCUGCCCUCCCCUUUUGAUGUAUGUAUGUUUCAUUUUCAAAUUAGAGGAAAAAUUAUCUUUCUUUUUUUUUUUUAGGGUUGGGGGGUGUAUGGGGAGAGUAAUGGAAUUUUACUGACUGGGGUGCAGUCAUAAAAGCAAAUACUAAGAUGCUGUUUUGAAACUGCCAGAGGAGUUUGUGGCCACAAGGGGGCGUAUUAGGGCUGUUUUCCCUCCAUCUUGAAGAAGUCUAAAUAAUAACUGAAUUUUUUUUUUUCAAAGUUAGGCAAAAGAAUGUUACAUUAAAUUACUGCAAGUUUGUAAAUGGGAAAAAUCCCUCCCUCGCCACAAAAGUAUACAGCAUUUUCUCUGAAAUAAAGCAUUUUUCAUCCUCAUCUGCUCUUUACCCCCUCCCCUUCCAACAAAUAGUUUGCCCAGCUCUUUGUAAUGCUUUAAUUUUUAGAAAUUUUUAUUAAUGAUUUGUUAACUUUAUUGAAAUGUGCUGGUAAUCACAGAUAUGUAUGGCGGAAAUUGUUGCUCUCAAAUAAAUGCAUGUAAUAACUGAAAGAGAUGGCUCCGUGUUCAAUCACAGUGUGUGAGGAACUCGAGGUGGGAUCGGUUCGAAAGGAAAAAUGUCUUUGGAUCUAGUUUGGAUGAGAAUUAAUUACUUUUACUUUAGAAAUGUGUUAAUAUCAAACACAAAAACACAAAAAUUCCAAUUCUGCAGUAUGUCAAGCACACUGCCUUUAUAUGAUUCCCUAGGUCUGUGGCACAUCCUGCUUUAUGCGGAUGAUAUUGUUUAUAUGAACACAAGGGUUCAAAUGAAGUUUAUUUAUUUGUGAUAAGAAUAAGACUGGACCCCAACAGAGCUGGAAGACUAGACCUGAUUGAAGGAUUGAUUGGAGCAACUUUGUAGCCUUUUUCCUAACAAUUGCAGAAAUGUUUCUUACCUGACUGCAGAAGAUGUGACUCUGGAGCUUCUAGUGAAAGUUUUAAAUAUGAACUGGACCGCUGUGGACAGACCAGACAGCAUGUUCUUCCUAGAGGAAAACAAACAAACUAAAUGUUGUUUGAGCUUCUAACCAGAGAUGAACAGUUGGGAAUUUGUUCUGCGUUUUCCCUAAAAAAAAAAAAAAAAAACCUUUCUUUCCUGUAGUGGUUUCAGGCAAAGCAGAUGAUGCAAUAAAGGCAAUGAUUUUCAGUUUUGGUUAAUCUAUUUGGCCUGGAUGUUCAUGCAUUUUCUAAUAAGGAG